UAGGCUCUGCCAUGUGCGUGUUUUGAGGCGUUAUUUUUAAGGACCUAUACUAUCAUUUUGGUAGCCCGUCUUUGCUAGUAAGCGUACUCUUCUUUAUAAGAAAAGUACAAAGCUAUCAUGGGGUAACCUACUAUAAAACACGGGUCCAAAAGAUAUCCUCUCACGGCAUUGCGGUGGAGCC
RNAcentral lists this non-coding RNA (181 nucleotides) under Candidatus Jettenia caeni. RNAcentral's name for it is "planctomycete KSU-1 6S / SsrS RNA". It matches the Rfam family "6S / SsrS RNA". Rfam says of the family: E. coli 6S RNA was the first non coding RNA to be sequenced, but its function was unknown until recently. It consists of 184 nucleotides that fold into an extended hairpin structure with a large single-stranded internal bulge. The record is from Rfam by way of RNAcentral. Lineage: Bacteria; Pseudomonadati; Planctomycetota; Candidatus Brocadiia; Candidatus Brocadiales; Candidatus Brocadiaceae.